This is a non-coding RNA of Parelaphostrongylus tenuis, 75 nucleotides long. The record is from the annotation of a GenBank genome assembly. Lineage: Eukaryota; Metazoa; Nematoda; Chromadorea; Rhabditida; Metastrongylidae.
GCCUCGGUAGUGUAAUUGGUUAGCAUAUACCUCCGGAAAGGGUGGAAUAUUGGUUCGAAUCCCUCAUCUGAGGUG